This 309-nucleotide unclassified non-coding RNA is filed under the name plant metagenome. Its description in RNAcentral is "partial contains 5.8S ribosomal RNA, internal transcribed spacer 2, and large subunit ribosomal RNA". The stretch from base 1 to 105 matches the Rfam family "5.8S ribosomal RNA", at positions 50 to 154 of the family's 154-position model. The record is from RNAcentral.
GAAAUGCGAUAAGUAGUGUGAAUUGCAGAAUUCAGUGAAUCAUCGAAUCUUUGAACGCACAUUGCGCCCCUUGGUAUUCCAUGGGUCAUGCCUGUUCGAGCGUCAUUUGUACCCUCAAGCUCUGCUUGGUGUUGGGUGUUUGUCCCGUCUCCGCGCGUGGACUCGCCCCAAAGUGAUUGGCAGCCGGCGUACUGGUCCCGGAGCGCAGCACAUGUCGCGCAAACGAGUGCCUUGGUACGGCGGCGUCCAUAAGCCCCUCUCUCACGCUCUUGACCUCGGAUCAGGUAGGGAUACCCGCUGAACUUAAGC